Molecule: ribosomal RNA, 346 nt
Filed under: uncultured bacterium
Lineage: Bacteria
Description: partial 16S ribosomal RNA
Rfam family: Bacterial small subunit ribosomal RNA
Source: RNAcentral
CCUACGGGAGGCAGCAGUGAGGAAUAUUGGUCAAUGGGCUUACGCCUGAACCAGCCAAGUCGCGUGAGGGAAGACGGCCCUAUGGGUUGUAAACCUCUUUUGUCAGGGAGCAAGAGGCGCUACGUGUAGCGUGAUCGAGAGGACCUGAAGAAAAAGCAACGGCCAACUCCGUGCCAGCAGCCGCGGUAAUAAGGAGGAUGCGAGCGUGAGCCGGAUUGAUUGGGUUGAAAGGGUGCGUAGGCGGAAUGCCAAGUCAGCGGUAAAAGCGCGGGGCUCAACCUCGCUCCGCCGUUGAAACUGGCGUUCUUGAGUGGGCGAGAAGUGUGCGGAAUGCGUUGUGUAGCGG